UUCCGGUUGAUCCUGCCAGAGGUUACUGCUAUCGAGGUUCGACUAAGCCAUGCGAGUCGAAUGUAGCAAUACAUGGCGUACUGCUCAGUAACACGUGGAUAACCUACCCUUGAGACGGGGAUAAACCCGGGAAACUGGGUAUAAUACCCGAUAGAUCUCGACUGCUGGAAUGCAUCGAGCUCUAAAGCUCCGGCGCUCAAGGAUGGGUCUGCGGCCUAUCAGGUAGUAGUGGGUGUAGCGUACCUACUAGCCUACGACGGGUACGGGUUGUGAGAGCAAGAGCCCGGAGAUGGAUUCUGAGACACGAAUCCAGGCCCUACGGGGUGCAGCAGGCGCGAAAACUUUACAAUGCUGGAAACAGCGAUAAGGGGACCUCGAGUGCCAGGUUACAGAUCUGGCUGCCGUGAUGCCUAAAAAGCAUUGCAUAGCAAGGGCCGGGCAAGACCGGUGCCAGCCGCCGCGGUAACACCGGCGGCUCGAGUGGUAACCGUUAUUAUUGGGUCUAAAGGGCCUGUAGCCGGCCGGAUAAGUCUCUUGGGAAAUCUGGCAGCUUAACUGUCAGGCUUUCAGGAGAUACUGUCUGGCUCGAGGCCGGGAGAGGUGAGAGGUACUUCGGGGGUAGGGGUGAAAUCUUGUAAUCCUUGAAGGACCACCAGUGGCGGAGGCGUCUCACCAGAACGGACCUGACGGCAAGGGACGAAAGCUAGGGGCACGAACCGGAUUAGAUACCCGGGUAGUCCUAGCCGUAAACGAUACUCGCUAGGUGUCGGCCGCGGUGCGACCGUUGUCGGUGCCGUAGGGAAGCCGUGGAGCGAGCCACCUGGGAAGUACGGCCGCAAGGCUGAAACUUAAAGGAAUUGGCGGG
Molecule: ribosomal RNA, 865 nt
Filed under: uncultured Methanosaeta sp.
Lineage: Archaea; Methanobacteriati; Methanobacteriota; Methanomicrobia; Methanotrichales; Methanotrichaceae
Description: bacterial SSU rRNA
Rfam family: Archaeal small subunit ribosomal RNA
Source: RNAcentral